This 253-nucleotide ribosomal RNA is filed under the name uncultured bacterium. Its description in RNAcentral is "partial 16S ribosomal RNA". It matches the Rfam family "Bacterial small subunit ribosomal RNA", at positions 524 to 776 of the family's 1533-position model. The record is from RNAcentral.
UACGAAGGGGGCUAGCGUUGUUCGGAAUUACUGGGCGUAAAGCGCACGUAGGCGGACUAUUAAGUCAGGGGUGAAAUCCCGGGGCUCAACCUCGGAACUGCCUUUGAUACUGCUAGUCUCGAGUCCGGAAGAGGUGAGUGGAAUUCCGAGUGUAGAGGUGAAAUUCGUAGAUAUUCGGAGGAACACCAGUGGCGAAGGCGGCUCACUGGUCCGGUACUGACGCUGAGGCGCGACAGCGUGGGGAGCAAACAGG